AUUUGUUUUGUCUUCAACAGGAGGGCGCUGUAGAGUUCGCCCGGGACUCCGCAAAGGAAUCCAUCACAGCUGCCGAACAGUGCGAUAACGCAAUGUACUACAUGCAUUCCACGAUGAUCUUAGCAGUCUGUCUGACAAAACUUCAGGACUACGACGGUGCUAAAGCAAAGUUCGAAAGAGCUCUUCUCGUGGCAGAAGCUAUAAAUGACUAUCGGAGUGAGAAGUCAAUCAGAGACGCCCUGGCGGAGUUAGAGGUGAAAAUCGCCACAAAAGUCUCCGAAAAUGAGCAAGAAAAUCAAGGAGAGUUUUGAAAAUGAAAAGAAAAGGGAACUGAACAUACAUACGCUGGGCUUGAGAUGAGCAGUGAAGAGUUUUUAAUACUUUUUUGUCAAUGUAUUAUCAUUAGGUCAAGAGUGUUUCUCAUGUAUUGUUUAUUGCUUUGACUUAUUUCUAAAGAAGAAAUUAUACAACCGCCCUGCAAAAUGAGCACCAAUUGUAAUAUGUUAUGUACUUAACUGCAUCAUUUGAAUUUCAUUAUCAUGCAAUGCCUUUUGACUGCCCUUCACCUUUAGAGAGAUUUGAAGUAGAUAGAGAAAAUGUAUAAACGAUUUGUAUUAUGUUAGCUAAUUUGUCACCUUUGAUAUAAGUAUGUAAAGUAUUUUUUUUUGGAUAAACUAUUCUUUUCUGUAAUAAAACCCCACACUUAUGUCUGUUGACGAUUUGAUAGAGAACACAUUACUGUAUUCUUAAUGCUUUGGUUUGUAAGACUUUGGUUUAUGGGUAUUUGUGUAUGUGUACAUAUUAUGAUCCUGUUCCCCUGUCUGAGAAUAUUAAACGAAUAUGAAGAAA
Molecule: long non-coding RNA, 849 nt
Organism: Aplysia californica (California sea hare)
Lineage: Eukaryota; Metazoa; Mollusca; Gastropoda; Aplysiida; Aplysiidae
Exons: 3
Source: RefSeq, a predicted model, not a curated record